This is a long non-coding RNA of Bos taurus (domestic cattle), 2291 nucleotides long. The record is from Ensembl. Lineage: Eukaryota; Metazoa; Chordata; Mammalia; Artiodactyla; Bovidae.
ACCUGCAGGUGCCCCCAUAUCUCUCCCCAACAAAACAACUGGGAUCCCUUAUUGUUGUGGUGGUUUUAGUUGCUAAGUCAUGUCCAACUCUUUGCAAUCCCAUGGACUGUAGCCUGCCAGGCUCCUCUGUCCAUAGCAUUCUCCAGGCAAGAAUACUGGAGUGGGUUGCCAUUUCCUCCUCCGGGGAUCUGCCCAACCCAGGGACUGAACCCAGGUCUUCUGCAUUGGCAGGCAGAUUCUUUACCACUGAGCCACCUGGGAAGCCCAGCUGUGAUGUCUGGCUCUGUUUUUCACCCUCUCCUCUUGGUUAUGCUGUUUCCCCAGACCCUUUAUAAAGACAGUUACCCCACAGAAGUUGUAUGCGUUAAGCCAGGAAUUCUCAGCCUAUGCCUCCAGCCAGGCUGCACACCUGCCAAUACAGUGUUCCCAGGCUGCCGGAUGUCUCGGGCCCAUCUCCUCAGAGCCGUGACCAGGACCAGGGAGGAAAACGGAGCCCUGUGUACCCCUAAUAGCUCAAAGGAUAAUUGCUUUAAUGAAAUGUUGGUUUCUGCCAUACAACAGCGUGAAUCAGCCGUAAGUAUAAGAAAGAAGGGGUGUCGUGGUAAGAACAAUAGGGAGAAUAUUAGAGCAGGUCCUGUUCAUCCUAAUGAAGAUGCAUCGUUGGCACUUGCCUCCCGCAUGGCUGGGAAAGAGCAGUGCAACCAAAAGGCCCCAUCCAGAUGGAGGAGCUCAGUAGAACAUCUGCCUUGCAUGUCUGUCACCUCCCUACCUCCUGCUGCUGUGUUAGCUGCCAGCCAUUAUAGCAGCUCCUGAGUCAAGGGCCCUCCUCUUGUAGUGUUUUCUUGGAGCUUUGACAGAUUAUCUACACUGUCAUUCCCAACAGCAUCGUGCCAUCUUUCUUAAAACUGCAGGAAGAUCCUGAUGGAAAUCUCAGUCCUUUUAAAAAAAAAAAAAAAAACCCUCCAAAAUAAAUUCCAUUAAACUAUAGUUAUGCCUGCAAAUUUUAUAUCAACUGGCAUUAGGCAGUUAGUUCACUGCAUCAACUACAUGGAUGGCCUAUAGCGUCCAUGUGACACUGAAGAAACGAGAGAGCUGUGGAAAAUGCAUUCACCCCUCUCCAUGUCCUCUACCACCAAUCUAAGUCCAAACCAGCCUCAUAUCCUGCCCAGAUUAUUACAGUAGCUGCCUAAUUGAUCUGGUCCAACCAUCUUAGUUAGUCCAAAUCAUCACUUGCCUGAGCAUUACUAAGUAGCCUCCUAACUAGCAUGUUUCCACUCUAGCUCUCCUUAACCCAGUUGAUUUUCCACAUUUGGGCACAUGAAAUAACAUUUUUGAAACCAAAUUCUGAACAUCUGAAUUUUGAUGAAAACCUUUCUAUGGCUUCCUAAAGCUAUUAGAGAUUAUUUACUACUGAUAAAUCAAGAUUGCUAUUGGCACCCUGAAGGCAAUGCAUGAUCUAUCCUUUGCCUAGCUUUUAUCUAAAAACAUCAUUUUCCUUUUUCCCCAUACUUUAGUCGUACCAGCCAUUUAUCUGUUCUGCCAACAUGCUAUGGUCCUUUCUGCCCUAGGGAUAUUGUAAUACUAUUGUUUCAGACUGGAAAUCCUUCCCCAUCUCAUUACACUUCACCUACUAAACCAUCACUUUUCAUAAUUCCAAUUUAAACACCACUUCCUCAGAGAUUCCCUGUGCUCCAUCACCCACUAAUCCUUUCUAUAGUGUCCUUUCCUCUACUUUUGAAGCUCUUAUAGUUUGUAAUUACAUAUCACCAUGAUUAUUUUAUUAAAUACCUAUCUCCCUCCACUAGGCUGUGUUUACCGAGAAGCCAGAAACUUUGCUUUUCUCACUUCUUGAAUCCAGCAUUUUCUGGUUUCAAGCUAGUGUUCAUUAUACUGCUUUCUGAACAGAUUUGUCAAAGAACAAAUAACCAUUUAAAUCUAAAUGACUCUCAAUAUAAACACUGCCUGUAUAAGUUUUUCAAACCUAUGCCAUUUGAUGUAUUUUUAUAUAGGAGAAAUUGCAACAUCAGUAUUUUCAAACAUGAGGCUGAGCUAAGAACUGAACUAAGAGCAAACACCCAUAAUACUUGUUGUCAGUAACACUUUGCAAAACCAUAGACUUUUAUCUACAUUCUUCUUCUCAUUGAAGUUUUAUUCCCCCCCACCAAAAAAAAAAAAAAAUCAACUGUGGACAUCAGCAUCAAGGUAAAAAUGGAACUGACCUAAUCUUCUGCUUUUGUGAGUUUACCUAAUUUAUUUAGUGAAAAUGAAUGUCAACUCGCUUAAUUCUGUUA